This 1127-nucleotide long non-coding RNA is filed under the name Homo sapiens (human). Its description in RNAcentral is "HSALNT0311434". The record is from RNAcentral. Lineage: Eukaryota; Metazoa; Chordata; Mammalia; Primates; Hominidae.
CUCAACUUUUCUGAAUCUCCCACUUGGCUGUGUCUCUGUACCUGCUAAAUCAACACAGUUCCUGGCAUACAGGUGCAUUUCAGUGCAUGCUGGUGAGACAGCGAAGGGCUUGAAACAGUCCACAAAAGUUGAUGCAGGAGAGCAGUACAAUCCUUUCUGGAGUGGGACUCAGAGAAAGAUCAUGCAUGUUGAAGUCAUUCCAGCAGCAGUCCAGGGGAGUUGGGGCAGGUAAGAUGGGAUAAGUGCACUCCAACCAUCAUUUCUGUUGGUCAUAACUCCAGGAGAGAAAGUUUAGAACAGCUAUUUGAGGACGGUGAAAAGAAAACAGCAGAAGGAAUAUUGGUGAAGAACACAGAAUUUGAAGUACAUCAAACCAGUAGGCUCACUUCCAAGCCAUACAUGUUUGGAUCUGGUUUUAAUGAGGAUACCAAGACCUUUGAGAACUGAAGUAAUAGAGAGGUCAUCACCUGGUUCCUAGACUGGCUUCUGGGUGGUGCACACCUGAAAUGGAGACAAAAAGCAGUUUGAAAACUGAGUGGAUGUUGACAUCACAGCGCACAGAAGGUAAAUGCAGAGAUUUCAGACUACAAAGUGACCUUCAUAGGCCAAUGGUGUUUCUGGAAACCUGUGAGCAGAAAAAGGACUUCCACUCUGAGGGGUGGCAGCAUAGUCACUUGGCUGGGGCAACUGGUCUCUUUGGCAAUAACUGCUUAUCAGAGAGGUUCCCAUGGCAUCCAGGCCCUGCAGGAUGCUGUUGAGACCCUGUCAGGUGAGAACAAAAUGGCAGUAGUGUGGCCCAGGCUCCCAUACUGAGGACGGAAGGCACCAGAAGACAGUAGACACUGGUCCAAAACCUAGAGGUGUGCACAGCAGAUGGAAAACUACUUUCUGCCAGCAGAGGUGACAUUUUCAGGGGGCUUCAUGGCUUUAGUGAGAGAGAACCAAGGAACUGGAAAGGAUGGACACUGUGGGUGGCCACACACACAAACCUCGGCGACUGGCAAAAUCAUCUGAGGAGAAUUGAAUUGUUUCCUUGGCAAACGAAGUGGUUGAAGAACUAUUUUUAUGGCUGUUCUUAUGAUUCUGUGUUUCACUGUAGACUGGCACAGCCUAGAGAACAUGCGCUA